This 416-nucleotide long non-coding RNA is filed under the name Mytilus galloprovincialis (Mediterranean mussel). Lineage: Eukaryota; Metazoa; Mollusca; Bivalvia; Mytilida; Mytilidae. The record is from RNAcentral.
AGAUCAAAGCAUUUCAACUUUGGAAAGUCAUUUUUUCGGUUUCUUUAGAUUAAUCCUACAUAUCCAAUAUAUUUUAUUUGACUCAAGCAGUUGAUAUAUAUACCAUGAUGCAAAUAAGUAUACAUGCGUCGAUCUACUAUCUGUGAUGUUUAAUGUUUGCAAAUCCUAACAUCCCCUAUAUGUCAAAGAUAACGUUCAGGAUAAGCAUGAGUGUCCACAAGCAGAUAUAGCUAAUCUAGUAACCGCAGACAGCAUUGCUCUUAAAUUGUAAAUCUCUAAUGUCUACUUCGAACCUGAGUUGUAUAGUUCACGGUUAAUGUCAUUAUGCUUAAAUUCAAAUCAAUUCUCUCAAGUGAAAUAAAUUUUAUGAAACUAAGGGACACAACUCUUUUAAUGCAAACGAAACAAACCGUCAG